This 1347-nucleotide ribosomal RNA is filed under the name uncultured bacterium. Its description in RNAcentral is "bacterial SSU rRNA". It matches the Rfam family "Bacterial small subunit ribosomal RNA", at positions 28 to 1381 of the family's 1533-position model. The record is from RNAcentral.
GACGAACGCUGGCGGCGUGCUUAACACAUGCAAGUCGAACGGAAAGGCCCUGCUUUUGUGGGGUGCUCGAGUGGCGAACGGGUGAGUAACACGUGAGUAACCUGCCCUUGACUUUGGGAUAACUUCAGGAAACUGGGGCUAAUACCGGAUAGGAGCUCCUGCUGCAUGGUGGGGGUUGGAAAGUUUCGGCGGUUGGGGAUGGACUCGCGGCUUAUCAGCUUGUUGGUGGGGUAGUGGCUUACCAAGGCUUUGACGGGUAGCCGGCCUGAGAGGGUGACCGGCCACAUUGGGACUGAGAUACGGCCCAGACUCCUACGGGAGGCAGCAGUGGGGAAUAUUGCACAAUGGGCGGAAGCCUGAUGCAGCAACGCCGCGUGCGGGAUGACGGCCUUCGGGUUGUAAACCGCUUUCGCCUGUGACGAAGCGUGAGUGACGGUAAUGGGUAAAGAAGCACCGGCUAACUACGUGCCAGCAGCCGCGGUGAUACGUAGGGUGCGAGCGUUGUCCGGAUUUAUUGGGCGUAAAGGGCUCGUAGGUGGUUGAUCGCGUCGGAAGUGUAAUCUUGGGGCUUAACCCUGAGCGUGCUUUCGAUACGGGUUGACUUGAGGAAAGUAGGGGAGAAAUGGAAUUCCUGGUGGAGCGGUGGAAUGCGCAGAUAUCAGGAGGAACACCAGUGGCGAAGGCGGGUCUCUGGGCCUUUCCUGACGCUGAGGAGCGAAAGCGUGGGGAGCGAACAGGCUUAGAUCCCCUGGUAGUCCACGCUGUAAACGGUGGGUACUAGGUGUGGGGUCCAUUCCACGGGUUCCGUGCCGUAGCUAACGCUUUAAGUACCCCGCCUGGGGAGUACGGCCGCAAGGCUAAAACUCAAAGGAAUUGACGGGGCCCCGCACAAGCGGCGGAGCAUGCGGAUUAAUUCGAUGCAACGCGUAGAACCUUACCUGGGUUUGACAUGGAUCGGAAGCGCUCAGAGAUGGGUGUGCCUCUUUUGGGGUCGGUUCACAGGUGGUGCAUGGCUGUCGUCAGCUCGUGUCGUGAGAUGUUGGGUUAAGUCCCGCAACGAGCGCAACCCUUGUUCACUGUUGCCAGCACGUUAUGGUGGGGACUCAGUGGAGACCGCCGGGGUCAACUCGGAGGAAGGUGGGGAUGACGUCAAGUCAUCAUGCCCCUUAUGUCCAGGGCUUCACGCAUGCUACAAUGGCUGGUACAGAGAGUGGCGAGCCUGUGAGGGUGAGCGAAUCUCGGAAAGCCGGUCUCAGUUCGGAUUGGGGUCUGCAACUCGACCUCAUGAAGUCGGAGUCGCUAGUAAUCGCAGAUCAGCAACGCUGCGGUGAAUACGUUCCCGGGGCU